AAGCAAUCAAAAAAGCUUUUCACUCCACAUUUGAGUUCAUACGUGUUCUUGCUUCCAAGCUUCCAAAGUUCUCAAGUGUUCUAGCUUUCCAAAAGCUUCAAAAGUUCUCCAACUUCUUCUUCUAAUCUUCUUGUUCAUCUUUACAAGUAAGAAGUGUUGUUUGCUUAAUAUUUCACUCCUUUAAUCAUCUCUUGUGUGUAUCCACUUUUUGGUUGAGAGGUUUUGUCUCAAUAUCACCAAAGUGUGAGAGAAGGUUUUUGAGCUAAAUCAAAACGCUUUAAGUUUGGUUUUAUAGAGUUUUUGGCAAAACUCUUAGGUCGAAUCUACUUUGAAAGAUUUUUAGGUUUUUAAGAGUUUCUUGAUACUCUAAAGUGUUAACCUACUCGUAAAGGUUAAGAGGUUUUUAAGAGUUCCAUAAUAUUCUAAGGUGUGAGUCUACCCGUAAAAGACUGGUUUCUAAGCGAAGUUAGCCUUAAAGCUUAGAGAGGUUUUUAAGAGUUUCUUUGAUACUCUAAGGUUUUGUCAUUAGGCUAGUAAACUCCGAUAGUUGUCGGGACUAGAUUAGUUCUUGUUUGGGUGAACCAGUAUAAAUUCUCUUAUGUUGUUCUUUGUUAACUUUAGUAUUUAUCUUUUAUCUAAAACAACUAAACAACACUUAAUUGAAAAAGAUCCCUCUUUCAGUUAUCUAAUUAAGUAUAGAGGUUGACUACUUUUGGCAGAUCCCUCGUAUAGUUAUCUGGUCAAUUAUCUGAGGUUAUAUAUUCAUUGUUUUAAAUCUUUAUUCAGAUAUUUGUUUAAACAUUUACUUAUCAAAUAUAUAUCCAGUUAUCUGGUCAUUAAUUUACUCUAUAAUAUAACUUAGUAUUCAUAUACUUGCCUUUUCUCUCAAAGUUUACUACAGUAUUCAGGCAAGUUUCAUAUAAUAUUAUACUUUUUAAAAUCAUAUAAUAGUAUUAUAUUGCUAACAAUAUUAUACUAUUAUUAUUAUUCAACUAUUUGUGUAUUAAGUGUUUACAGGUAAUUUCAUUAUUAACUUGUACAAAUCGAAAAGAGUCUAUUAUCCCCCCUUAUAGCUUCGGAUCACGAUCCAACAGAAAGAAGGUUAAAUUAUAUCCAAAUUUCUUUCUUUUAAUAUAGGAAAAAAUUCAGACUGUAUGGUUACUCUGCAUAUUCUGAUACUACUAAUGAGUUUGUGCGUGUUCUGAUAUUCUGCAUAUUCUGAUAGUUUGUGAUCUGUUUAGUAUGUUUGGGUAUGUUCUGUUUAGUAUGUUUAAGUCUGGAUCUGCUAAAUAUAUGGUUGUAGUAGUGGUACAUACUCUAUUGUAGGUAGUCAAUGAGGAGGUACUGAGGCAAAAACUAGACUAAGGAUCAUAAAUCAUAACUAUUGGGAUUAGUUGAUAUAAUGGUAGGGUUUUUCCCCGGAGAAAGACCGCAAAAAAAUUAAAAGAUGCCAAAGAGCACACCUGGUAUUUUUUCACCCCCCCCCCAUCAUGUCAGGUAAUUCGUAGUAUAAAAGACUGAAGAUUUCAUAAACAAAGCUUGACAAAAAAGAUGAUGUUUGAUGAUGGAGUUUUUGCUGGCAAAUCAAUAUCACAUAUUUGUGGUUUGGUUUGUGGGGGAAUUAAGCAGCUCAAAAAAAGAUAAAGCAAUGAUGUAAUUAGAAGACUGUAAAGACUACUAAUUGUAGUCUGGUUUAUAUCUAGAAAUAUAAAGUCUGUAAUAAACAAAAUCUAUAAUAAACAAAGUCUGUAUCUAGAAUUAGUAUAUGUGACAAAGGAGAUCGCCUGAGGUCGACGAUCACCGAUCCUGUGUCCGAACAGACUCUCCGAGAUGGAGCCAGGGGUUCUGAGAAGAAGAAUUUCCACGGAGGGAACCGGAGGUUUUACAAGAUGGAUUAGUUGAACUUUUCAAUAUCUAUUCCUGCUAUAUUUAGUUCUAUAUAUAGUCGUGAUUACAUGUCGUUAUUGUUACAUUUCCUAAUGCUUAACAGAUUGAUCAAGUAACUGAUUCUAAUUAUUCGUAACUGUAUUCCAGUAGGCGGGUAGAACGUGUUGUGCGUUGUGAUCGGAUGUCGUCAGGCUUACUAGGACUGCCCGAUGCUUCCGCCUCCUUGUCAAACCGAUUGUCCAGCUUCAAGUCCUUCUGCAAUUGGGUCACGCAUUCCUUGGGGUUCAGUGGGAUUGUUACAGUAUAUAGGGGAAUGUAGAUUAUAUAUAAUAUAUAUAGGGGCCGGGGUAUGUUAUAAUUAUUACAAUAGUUAAAUAAUAUAUAUACAACUAUAACAGUUUGUAAAC
Molecule: long non-coding RNA, 2294 nt
Filed under: Zostera marina
Lineage: Eukaryota; Viridiplantae; Streptophyta; Magnoliopsida; Alismatales; Zosteraceae
Description: long non-coding RNA (ZMAR_LNC001537)
Source: RNAcentral